Long non-coding RNA from Megalobrama amblycephala (Wuchang bream), 1062 nucleotides. RefSeq lists it as uncharacterized. The transcript is spliced from 4 exons. Lineage: Eukaryota; Metazoa; Chordata; Actinopteri; Cypriniformes; Xenocyprididae. The record is from RefSeq and is a predicted model, not a curated record.
GGGAAACGGCAGUUUGGACACACUGAACAUAUUCUCUUCGAAUGCGAAACCUCUUUUAGAUACGCAGAAUUUGGCUCUGGCCACGAAUUUUGAAUUCCCAUGGACAGUGAUGCACACACUUUUGCUGUGGAAAGGCUGUGCUGCAGGUGUUCGGGGGCCGACGGAGAGCUUGCAGAAUGAAUCAGAGGUUUAUUAAACAGCAGCCAAAACCAGAGGAGAGGAGAUGAGAUGAGAAGCGAACAGAAAUUGGGAAGACGAGAUGAAAGAAUCUGUAACGCAGAUGGAAGCUGUACUCGUGUGACUAGAAACCAUCUGUCCAGGGAUUUUACCAAGAUGGCCACCGAGUGAAGAGACUUGCUUCAAAUUUGGAAUUUGGUUAUAGUCUCUUUUUCUGUCAAUACACUAUUAGCAUGAAACGUAUUACCAGUAUGAUGGCAAUUUUAUAAGCUUGUAUCACCUUUUAAAAUACAAGCAAAACAACAAGGUACUUUUUAUGUGGUGCUGGAGAACAUGAAAAAAAAGGAGCAUCGCUCUCUCUCUGUCUCUGCAGUCAUUUGUCAUUGCCGUCGGUUUGAUUGACAGCUGGUAUGGAUGAAUGAGAGCUCUUCCUGUCCACCCACCAAUCAGCCACCUCCUCCAAGCCCUCAACAUGAUGGCCGAGGGUCGGAGCCUGAGGUCCUUCCACCCGUCUCACAGCAGACCAUCCAUCUGCCUGUCCGCGGCCACCACUAAUCAAAGCUGCCAGAGGGGCGGCCCCAUAAAGCUCUUCACGAGGAGAAUGCAUUUUGUUUGUGUGUGAGACAAAUGAGAAUUAAUGUACUUCACAUCAAAAUUAAUAAACGUAACAUACUGACAUACUGAUUUGUUUUACCCAUGUGCAUGCAUAAAGAAUUAUGUUGUAUCUCAGCGCAACACAACUAGAGAUACAUGGAGAUUUUUGGGGAUCAUCAGUUAUUUCAUUAGCGCACUCACAGGCAAUUAUAACUGAAAAACAAUGAAUCAUCACAUUUUCAUUAAGAGCACUGCUCUAUCUAUCUAUCUAUCUAUCUAUCUAUCUAUCUA